Long non-coding RNA from Felis catus (domestic cat), 859 nucleotides. RefSeq lists it as uncharacterized. The record is from RefSeq and is a predicted model, not a curated record. The transcript has 5 exons. NCBI's taxonomy places the organism in Eukaryota, Metazoa, Chordata, Mammalia, Carnivora, Felidae.
UCCAGGAGAUUCUGAUGCACCUGAAGUUUCAGAACCACUGUGUCUGAGGUUGUCUAACAUGUUUGGCCUCCAUGUAUACAGAACGUUUCUCACCGGUCACCUUUUAACCAUUGGCUGUCAGCCUUGCUGUGCUAUAUAAAUACCUAGGACCAAACACCAGCCCCGGAGACUCUGAUUUAAUUGGUUUGGGGAGGGGUCAGUUAUGAAGAUGCUCCCAGGUCGUUCUAAGCCUGGACAGGGUUGAGGGCUCCUGCCUCUGGCCCCUACCUGAGACAAGCCCUCCCUCUUCUACUCACACUUUCCACGCCUCUCACACUCCCCUUCCUCCCACCUCAGACUUCGGAAGAAUGCCUCAAUCGCAGAUCCCCUUCAAAGGAGAUCUUCGUGGGAAAGCCCAGUGUAGAAAACAAGAAAAAGCAGAGCGGCUCUGACGGAAGGAACGCUCCACUGCCCAGAUCCCGACACGAGUCCUAACAACGCAAUUUAGACGAGCUGGUUUUGCAGACCGGAUGCAAAAGCUGCAAGGGCUGAGGUGGUAGAACACCGAUUUCUUCCUUUCCUCCAGUAAUGAAGAUAAAAGCUUGCCCCCUCUUUAUCAGAUGACUCCUAGCCAUGAAGUCCAAGGGAACACCAGAGGGAUAAUGUCUGCAGAGAUUCUAAGACCAGCUUGCCCCUCUAUGCUCCACGACAGUGUCUCAGAAACUUCUUCCAGAGCACCAGCUAUCUCCUCUCUACCAUGGGGAUAAUCACAGCAUCUGCCUGGACGGGUUGUUUUGAGUAUUAAAUAAAAUAAUGGGCAUAAGGUUAUAAACACAUGGCAGGUAUCCUAUGCACCUAAUAAAUACUAUUAUUAUUGUUA